GCAAAAACAACAUCUAGUCCGUAGUCCCGGCGAUGUUAAGCGGGAAGAGCUCAAAUUUGCAAUCUGGUUAACCUUCGGUUGCCCGAGUUGUAAUCUAGAGAAGUGUUUCCGCGUUGGCCCAGUGUACAAGUCCCUUGGAACAGGGCGUCAUAGAGGGGUGAGAAUCCCGUCCUUGAACAUGGACCCCCAAUGCUUUGUGAUACACUUUCAACGAGUCGAGUUGUUUGGGAAUGCAGCUCAAAAUGGGUGGUGAAUUCCAUCUAAAGCUAAAUAUUGGCGAGAGACCGAUAGCGAACAAGUACCGUGAGGGAAAGAUGAAAAGCACUUUGGAAAGAGAGUUAAACAGUACGUGAAAUUGUUGAAAGGGAAACGAUUGACGUCAGUCAUGCUCUUUGGUUUAAGCCGUUCUGCGGUGUAUAUCAUUGAGUGGGGUCAACAUCAGUUUUGACCGCUGGAAAAGGGCAAGAGGAAGGUAGCACCUCCGGGUGAACUUAUUGCCUCUCGUCGUAUACAGUUGGUUGGGGACUGAACGAACCGCAGCAUGCCUUUUUGGGCCAGAGGAUUUCUGUCCACCGUUACAAUGCUUAAGGAAUGCUUGACAUAAUGGCUUUAAACGACCCGUCUUGAAACA
RNAcentral lists this ribosomal RNA (631 nucleotides) under Cryptococcus sp. CRUB 1999. RNAcentral's name for it is "eukaryotic LSU rRNA". It matches the Rfam family "Eukaryotic large subunit ribosomal RNA", at positions 55 to 661 of the family's 3401-position model. Lineage: Eukaryota; Fungi; Basidiomycota; Tremellomycetes; Tremellales; Cryptococcaceae. The record is from RNAcentral.